GUAAGGAAUAUUGCACAAUGGGCGAAAGCCUGAUGCAGCAACGCCGCGUGCGCGAUGAAGGCCUUCGGGUUGUAAAGCGCUUUUCCGGGGGAAGAGUAAGGACGGUACCUCGGGAAUAAGUCUCGGCUAACUACGUGCCAGCAGCCGCGGUAACACGUAGGAGACGAGCGUUAUCCGGAUUUAUUGGGCGUAAAGAGCAUGUAGGCGGGCUCUUAAGUCGGAUGUGAAAUCUCUUGGCUUAACCGGGAGGGGUCAUUCGAUACUGGGGGUCUUGAGGGCAGGAGAGGGAAGUAGAAUUCCCGGUGUAGUGGUGGAAUACGUAGAUAUCGGGAGGAAUACCAGUGGCGAAAGCGGCUUCCUGGCCUGUGCCUGACGCUGAGAUGCGAAAGCGUGGGUAGCAAACGGGAUUAGAAACCCCGGUAGUCC
This 426-nucleotide ribosomal RNA is filed under the name uncultured bacterium. RNAcentral's name for it is "bacterial SSU rRNA". It matches the Rfam family "Bacterial small subunit ribosomal RNA", at positions 354 to 796 of the family's 1533-position model. The record is from RNAcentral.